AAGUGUAGUUUAAUGGUAGAACUGUAGCUUCCCAAGCUCCUGGCGCGGGUUCGAUUCCCGUCACUUG
Molecule: transfer RNA, 67 nt
Filed under: uncultured Succinivibrio sp.
Lineage: Bacteria; Pseudomonadati; Pseudomonadota; Gammaproteobacteria; Aeromonadales; Succinivibrionaceae
Rfam family: tRNA
About the family: Transfer RNA (tRNA) molecules are approximately 80 nucleotides in length.
Source: RNAcentral